GACGAACGCUGGCGGCGUGCCUAAUACAUGCAAGUAGAACGCUGAGGGAGGAGCUUGCUCUUCUGGAUGAGUUGCGAACGGGUGAGUAACGCGUAGGUAACCUGCCUGGUAGCGGGGGAUAACUAUUGGAAACGAUAGCUAAUACCGCAUAAGAGUAGAUGUUGCAUGACAUUUACUUAAAAGGUGCAAUUGCAUCACUACCAGAUGGACCUGCGUUGUAUUAGCUAGUUGGUGGUGUAACGGCUUACCAAGGCGACGAUACAUAGCCGACCUGAGAGGGGGAUCGGCCACACUGGGACUGAGACACGGCCCAGGACUCUAAGGGAGGCAGCAGUAGGGAAUCUUCGGCAAUGGACGGAAGUCUGAACGGGCCAAGGCGGGGGAGGGAAGAAGGUUCUCGGAUCGUAAAGACCUGUUGAAAGAGAAGAACGAGUGUGAGAGUGGAAAGUUCACACUGUGACGGUAUCUUACCAGAAAGGGACGGCUAACUACGUG
RNAcentral lists this ribosomal RNA (495 nucleotides) under uncultured bacterium. Its description in RNAcentral is "partial 16S ribosomal RNA". It matches the Rfam family "Bacterial small subunit ribosomal RNA", at positions 28 to 507 of the family's 1533-position model. The record is from RNAcentral.